CAGAAGAAAGAAAUUCAUACAGGUUUGAAACAACAUGAGGGAUACUGAGGCACUGGGGCCACACACAAAGGCCAUGAAAAUGGGGAUCCUGGAAGUGACUGACAGUUCUACCAACUCAGGACCAUAUCCCACAGUGGUCAAUGUGACUGUAGUACUGGAGGAGGAAGUUGUCAUGUUUUACUGAAUUUCAUUUUGUAAAGCAGAUAUUUGUUUUUCCAGUACAGCUAUUGACUAAGAGUGAUAUGUCAUGCUUUCUUGAACUCUCAGAUCUUGUUUCGGCACUGGUUGAAUACUUGUGUAAUAUUUUACUUGAGCCUACAGGCAAGUUCAUAUGUAUUUAAAUAAAUACAUAAAAUGUUCUUUAUCAAAGCAUAGUGUGUAAUUUAUUUGAAAUAAUGAAAAAUAGACUAUUUUGACCAACAUUAAUGAAAAAUAGACUUAUUGGCCAACAUUAAAUAUUUAAUACAACAUUUUAUUUCAAUUUGAGUCUGCUUGUUGGCCCAACAAGCUAUGUUUAGUCAACAGAAAAUAUUUAAUUGACACAACAUUCUAUUUUAAGUUCAGUCUACAUGCAGGGGUAGUCAGCACAACACAAAAAAGUUGGUUUCCGCAACUUAAAUUGGGCCAACUAAAAAUUUUAGGUGCAACGGGUCACUAGAAAUUUUUAUGUUGGAGAGGCAUAUAUUUUUUUACAGUGUGAGUAUUUAUGUGUUUUUAACUUAAUUCACAGUAGCGUCCAUCUAUGAAGGAUGUAGACUGUCAAACAGACACAACUGUUAGCCAAUCACAGCAGUGGGUAUUUACUUCCGAGUCUUCAAUCCGUCACGUCUAUUCAAACAGAGCAUCCCGAUGAGGGGGUCAGAAAGGACAGAAAAUAGACUUUAAUUCUAAAUUAUGAUGUUUAUUAUGUAAAAAGGUUGAUAACAUUAUAAGUGGACCUCAGAGAACAGUACAAAAUAAUUUAAAAGGCAGUUCAUUACCCCUUUAAUUUAAUUUUUAGAUGUUUAAAAUCAUGUACACUGUCAAACACAAGCAUGGACCUAUUUUUUUUUUUUUUUUAGCUAGCUUUAUCUAAAUAUUAAAAAUAAAAUGGAUAGCUAUCCAAAUAAAUAAAUAAAUAAAUAAAUAAAUAAAUAAAUAAAUACUAUAACAGAUAACCUGUUGAUCUAAAAGUAGCUAACACUUGAAUGAACCCUGAAUAUGGAGUUUUCCAGGACCACAUGUGACCUAGACCUUAAUAGACCACCUAAUUAACUCCACCAAUUAUAAUUCUGAAGGCUGGAAGGCUGAACAUACAAACAAACUGUGGUUUCCAUAAUGAUUCCUUCAGAGAUGGAGGCUGGCAUUCUGUGUUAACAAUCCUGUGGGUCUGGCUUUCGCCUUGCUGGU
Long non-coding RNA from Cyprinus carpio carpio, 1389 nucleotides. The record is from Ensembl. NCBI's taxonomy places the organism in Eukaryota, Metazoa, Chordata, Actinopteri, Cypriniformes, Cyprinidae.